This 84-nucleotide transfer RNA is filed under the name Gemmatimonadota bacterium. Its description in RNAcentral is "Gemmatimonadetes bacterium tRNA-Arg". It matches the Rfam family "tRNA". Rfam says of the family: Transfer RNA (tRNA) molecules are approximately 80 nucleotides in length. Their secondary structure includes four short double-helical elements and three loops (D, anti-codon, and T loops). Further hydrogen bonds mediate the characteristic L-shaped molecular structure. tRNAs have two regions of fundamental functional importance: the anti-codon, which is responsible for specific mRNA codon recognition, and the 3' end, to which the tRNAs corresponding amino acid is attached (by aminoacyl-tRNA synthetases). tRNAs cope with the degeneracy of the genetic code in two manners: having more than one tRNA (with a specific anti-codon) for a particular amino acid; and 'wobble' base-pairing, i.e. permitting non-standard base-pairing at the 3rd anti-codon position. The record is from RNAcentral. Lineage: Bacteria; Pseudomonadati; Gemmatimonadota.
GCCCCCGUGGCGGAAUUGGAAGACGCGCUCGUUUGCGACACGAGUGACCGCGAGGUCAUGUGGGUUCGAGUCCCACCGGGGGCA